UGCCAGCCGCCGCGGUAAUACGAAAGGUGCGAGCGUUAAUCGGAAUUACUGGGCGUAAAGCGCGCGUAGGCGGCUAUUUAAGUCUGAUGUGAAAUCCCCGGGCUCAACCUGGGAAUGGCAUCGGAUACUGGGUAGCUAGAGUGCAGUAGAGGAAGGUGGAAUUCCAGGUGUAGCGGUGAAAUGCGUAGAGAUCUGGAGGAACACCAGUGGCGAAGGCGGCCUUCUGGACUGACACUGACGCUGAGGUGCGAAAGCGUGGGGAUCAAACAGGAUUAGAUA
RNAcentral lists this ribosomal RNA (279 nucleotides) under uncultured bacterium. RNAcentral's name for it is "partial 16S ribosomal RNA". It matches the Rfam family "Bacterial small subunit ribosomal RNA", at positions 506 to 784 of the family's 1533-position model. The record is from RNAcentral.